UACAGUAAUCACGUCGUAUAACCUGUCCCUUAGGCACCAGAAUAAUCCCCGGGGAAACUGGGGAUAAUACCGGAUAAGUCCAUAGACGCUGGAAUGCCCUAUGGUUCAAAGACUCCGGCGCCUAAGGAUGGAUCUGCGGUCUAUCAGGUUGUAGUGGGUGUAAUGUACCUACUAGCCGACGACGGAUUCGGGUUGUGGGAGCAAGAGCCCGGAGAUGGAUUCUGAGACACGAAUCCAGGCCCUACGGGGUGCAGCAGGCGCGAACACUUUACAAUGCGGGAAACCGAGGAUAAGGGAACCCCGAGUGCCAGCAUCAAAUGUUGGCUGUCCAGAUGAUUAAAAAUCAUUUGUUAGCAAGGACCGGGCAAGACCGGUGCCAGCCGCCGCGGUAACACCGGCGGCCCCAGUGGUAGCCGUUUUUAUUGGGUCUAAAGGGUCCGUAGCCGUCUUGAUAAGUCCUUUGGGAAAUCCGGCAGCUUAACUGUCAGGCUUAUAAGAGAUACUGUCAGGCUUGGGACCGGAAGAACUAAGAGGUACUCCAGGGGUGGGAGUGAAAUCUCGUAAUCCCUAAUGGACCAUCCGUGGCGAAGGUUCCUUCCCAAAACUGGUCCGACGGUCAGGGACGAAAGUUAGGGGAGCAAACUGGAUUAGAUACCCGGGUAGUCCUAGCUGUCACCGAUACUUCCUAGGUGUCAUACACGGUUCGACCGUGUUAGUUUCAACAGGGAAUCCGUUAAUCGACCCACCUGGUAAGUACGGUCGCAAGACCGCAACUACA
RNAcentral lists this ribosomal RNA (778 nucleotides) under uncultured archaeon. RNAcentral describes it as "bacterial SSU rRNA". It matches the Rfam family "Archaeal small subunit ribosomal RNA", at positions 83 to 860 of the family's 1478-position model. The record is from RNAcentral.